RNAcentral lists this ribosomal RNA (480 nucleotides) under uncultured bacterium. RNAcentral describes it as "SSU rRNA". It matches the Rfam family "Bacterial small subunit ribosomal RNA", at positions 26 to 523 of the family's 1533-position model. The record is from RNAcentral.
AGGAUGAACGCUGGCGGCGUGCUUAACACAUGCAAGUCGAACGGUGAAAGAGGAGCUUGCUCCUCUGGAUCAGUGGCGAACGGGUGAGUAACACGUGAGUAACCUGCCCUUGACUCUGGGAUAAGCGUUGGAAACGACGUCUAAUACCGGAUACGACCUCCGAAGGCAUCUUCUGGAGGUGGAAAGAAUUUCGGUCAAGGAUGGACUCGCGGCCUAUCAGCUAGUUGGUGAGGUAAUGGCCCACCAAGGCGACGACGGGUAGCCGGCCUGAGAGGGUGACCGGCCACACUGGGACUGAGACACGGCCCAGACUCCUACGGGAGGCAGCAGUGGGGAAUAUUGCACAAUGGGCGCAAGCCUGAUGCAGCAACGCCGCGUGGAGGAUGAAGCCCCUUGGGGCGUAAACUCCUUUCGAUCGGGAAGAUAAUGACGGUACCGGAAGAAGAAGCCCGGCUAACUUCGUGCCAGCAGCCGCGGUAA